Molecule: ribosomal RNA, 373 nt
Filed under: uncultured Sphingobacteriia bacterium
Lineage: Bacteria; Pseudomonadati; Bacteroidota; Sphingobacteriia
Description: bacterial SSU rRNA
Rfam family: Bacterial small subunit ribosomal RNA
Source: RNAcentral
UAAUACGGAGGAUGCAAGCGUUAUCCGGAUUCAUUGGGUUUAAAGGGUGCGUAGGCGGAAUGAUAAGUCAGUGGUGAAAUCCCCCGGCUCAACCGGGGAACUGCCAUUGAAACUAUCAUUCUUGAGUACAGUUGAAGUGGGCGGAAUGAGUCAUGUAGCGGUGAAAUGCAUAGAUAUGACUCAGAACACCGAUAGCGAAGGCAGCUCACUAAGCUGUAACUGACGCUCAGGCACGAAAGCGUGGGGAGCAAACAGGAUUAGAUACCCUGGUAGUCCACGCCGUAAACGAUGAUUACUAGUUGUUGGCGAUACACAGUCAGCGACUGAGGGAAACCAUUAAGUAAUCCACCUGGGGAGUACGGCCGCAAGGUUG